RNAcentral lists this ribosomal RNA (517 nucleotides) under Chaetoceros curvisetus. Its description in RNAcentral is "partial Bacterial large subunit ribosomal RNA". It matches the Rfam family "Bacterial large subunit ribosomal RNA", at positions 1 to 529 of the family's 2925-position model. Lineage: Eukaryota; Bacillariophyta; Thalassiosirophyceae; Chaetocerotales; Chaetocerotaceae. The record is from RNAcentral.
AGCGUCAAAAGGGCAUCCGGGGGAUGUCUUGGCGGUAAGAGGCGAUGAAGGACGUGGCACUCUGCGAUAAGCACGGGGGAGGCGAGAGCACCCAUUGAUCCCGUGAUUUCCGAAUGGGGAAACCCAUCUCCGAGAUGUGAGACUAUUAUUCAACUCCGGUUGAAUGCUGGUCUUACAUUUCAAUAGUGAGAUAUUUUACACUGAAUACAUAGGUGUUAAAAAGCGAACCCGGGGAAUUGAAACAUCUAAGUACCCGGAGGAAAGGACAGCAAUAGCGACUUCCCUAGUAGCGGCGAGCGAACGGGAACCAGCCGAGCCAUGAAUGUGAUCAGAAGGACCUGGAAAGGUCCGCCAUAGUGGGUGACAGCCCCGUAUGAGAAGCAUGAUUGGACGUAUCAAGUAGGGCGGAACACGUGAAAUUCUGUCUGAAGAUCGGAGGACCACCUUCGAAGGCUAAGUACUCCUUACUGACCGAUAGUGAACCAGUACCGUGAGGGAAAGGUGAAAAGCACCCCGA